CCUACGGGGUGCUGCAGUCGAGAAUCUUUCGCAAUGGGGAAACCCUGACGACGCGACGCCGCGUGGAGGAUGAAGGCCUUCGGGUUGUAAACUCCUGUCAGCAGGGGAGAACAAGCUGUCGAUGAAUAAUCGAUAGCUUUGACAGUACCUGCAGAGGAAGCCACGGCUAACUCUGUGCCAGCAGCCGCGGUAAUACAGAGGUGGCAAGCGUUGUUCGGAUUUAUUGGGCGUAAAGGGUCCGUAGGCGGCCUGGAAAGUUGGAUGUGAAAUCCCACAGCUUAACUGUGGAACUGCAUUCAAAACUUCUAGGCUCGAGUGUGAUAGGGGUAAAGGGAAUUCCCGGUGUAAGGGUGAAAUCUGCAGAGAUCGGGAGGAACACCAGUCGCGAAGGCGCUUUACUGGAUCACUACUGACGCUGAGGGACGAAAGCCAGGGGAGCAAACG
RNAcentral lists this ribosomal RNA (444 nucleotides) under uncultured prokaryote. RNAcentral describes it as "bacterial SSU rRNA". It matches the Rfam family "Bacterial small subunit ribosomal RNA", at positions 338 to 774 of the family's 1533-position model. The record is from RNAcentral.